RNAcentral lists this transfer RNA (93 nucleotides) under SAR324 cluster bacterium. Its description in RNAcentral is "tRNA-Ser". It matches the Rfam family "tRNA". From Rfam's summary of the family: Transfer RNA (tRNA) molecules are approximately 80 nucleotides in length. Their secondary structure includes four short double-helical elements and three loops (D, anti-codon, and T loops). Further hydrogen bonds mediate the characteristic L-shaped molecular structure. tRNAs have two regions of fundamental functional importance: the anti-codon, which is responsible for specific mRNA codon recognition, and the 3' end, to which the tRNAs corresponding amino acid is attached (by aminoacyl-tRNA synthetases). tRNAs cope with the degeneracy of the genetic code in two manners: having more than one tRNA (with a specific anti-codon) for a particular amino acid; and 'wobble' base-pairing, i.e. permitting non-standard base-pairing at the 3rd anti-codon position. The record is from RNAcentral. RNAcentral also lists the same sequence under 3 other names. Lineage: Bacteria; Deltaproteobacteria.
GGAGAGAUGGGUGAGUUGGUUUAAACCAGUCGUUUGCUAAAUGACCGUACGUGGAAACAUGUACCGAGGGUUCGAAUCCCUCUCUCUCCGCCA